UACAGAGGAGCCAAGCGUUGUCCGGAUUGACUGGGCGUAAAGCGCACGCAGGCGGAUGCGCGCGUGGGGUGUGAAAUCUGGCCGCUUAACGGCCAGGCGCCAUCCCAUACGGCGCGUCUGGAGUGAUGCAGAGGUCGGUGGAAUUGCCGGUGUAGUGGUGAAAUGCGUAGAGAUCGGCAGGAACAGCCCAGGGGAAACCAGCCGACUGGGCAUGACUACUGACGCUGAGGUGC
RNAcentral lists this ribosomal RNA (233 nucleotides) under uncultured bacterium. RNAcentral's name for it is "partial 16S ribosomal RNA". It matches the Rfam family "Bacterial small subunit ribosomal RNA", at positions 524 to 754 of the family's 1533-position model. The record is from RNAcentral.